GAUGAAGAACGUAGCGAAAUGCGAUAACUAAUGUGAAUUGCAGAAUUCCGUGAAUCAUCGAGUCUUUGAACGCACAUUGCGCCCCCUGGUAUUCCGGGGGGCAUGCCUGUCCGAGCGCCAUUGCUGCCCAUCAAGCACGGCUUGUGUGUUGGGUCCCGUCCCCCUCUCCCGGGGGACGGACCCGAAAGGCAGCGGCGGCACCGCGUCCGGUCCUCGAGCGUAUGGGGCUUUGUCACCCGCUCUUGUAGGCCCGGCCGGCGCUUGCCGACACCCAACCAUUUUUUUCAGGUUGACCUCGGAUCAGGUAGGGAUACCCGCUGAACUUAAGCAUAUCAAUAAGCGGAGGA
Molecule: unclassified non-coding RNA, 347 nt
Filed under: soil metagenome
Description: partial contains 5.8S ribosomal RNA, internal transcribed spacer 2, and large subunit ribosomal RNA
Rfam family: 5.8S ribosomal RNA (bases 1-120)
Source: RNAcentral